UCCCUUGGCAGGACUCACGCGAAGUGUGAGACGGAAGGCGUUUAAGUUUCGGUUUCUUGCAAAGGGAGCGCACUGUCACUGAAAUUGGGGAUAAUUCCGGGAAUUUGUUAAUAGCAGUGGCGGGUCAGUAGAGGGCACUAGAGUUGAAAACAAGGAGAGCUCAGUAGAAGCGGCAAACAGCCCAAGGAGAGGGAAUUUCCUGGAAGGCGAGGCUGUGAAGGGAAACGCACAUUCUUCUGUUUGGCAAAAGAGAGUGGGAGAGGAGAGCAGAUCGGUAUGCUGGGGUCAAAGUGAGCCGAGGACGGCUUUGAACCCCUUGCCAGUUUGUAUGCGUCCGCGUGACGAGCCUGCUAAAAAUUACACAGAGCUAAUAGGAAAAAAGGGUAAUUGAAAAUUUGAUUCAGUUCAUGUAAGACCCAAAUAUUGUUAUCUCUUGUAUUUUAAUUUGGGUUGUGAGCUGCCCCGAGGCUUUGGCGAAUGGGGCGGCAUAGAAAUGUUUUAAUAAAAUAAAUAAAAGAAUCAAGGUGUUCUGUUCCACUGUGGGUAUUUGAUUAGCAUAGCAAUGAUUGGGAGAUUGCAUAAUACCUAAUUACUAAUGCUAUCAAUGGUCAAUAGAUUUACCUUCUAUGCAUUUGAGUUUAGGACAUUAUCUUGCAUUACAUGGACUGAUGGCCCAACUUACUUGUAUUUGCUUUCUUUUUACUAUUCUCAUUCUUUCUGCAUCUUUUACUGCUUUGUUUUAGCAUUUCUAUAUAGUCUCUUAAAUAUAUAACCUCUUAAAGCAGUUUACAAAAUGUAAAAAAAGAUCGCCUAUCAAUAAAGAUUCACACAAUAGAACCAAUAUAUCAGAGGAGCAUUUAAAAGCUAUAGUCAUUACCAAAUAAUCUGAAACAAACUGGGGACUUAAAAAGCAUUAACAUUACACUAAAGUAAAGACAGAGAUGGAACCAGUUAAGCAUCUGUGAGAGGUGUGUUUCAGGAGAUGAGGGAAGGGGCCUUGUAGAAGGUUGCACCUUAGAUGAUGCAGGGUUGGUCUGGCCCAGCUCCUGCCACCACCAGUUGUACAGAAGCCAGUCAGACAGACAUUUGACUUUUAUUCCAAUGCUAGUGCCAGGAUCAGUGCCCUCCACACACAUGAAGGCAGGAGACUAGCUUAGGGUAUACAGCAGGGCAGCUCAUGUCCAGCACCUCACUGUUUCUCUCCAUUGCUCCACCUGGGCCUGCUUUCUGCAAGCUGAACCUAAUGUUGCAGUGCAGCUACAGUGGUACCUGUGCACCUCUGUAAGGCCACGCAGAUGCAGGGACUGCUGGAGUGCCUGGCCAGGAUGGCUCCUGCUCACUUGGAUUGUACUCAGUGGAGCUUAUUUCUGAUAAAACAUGCAUAGGGACGCACCAUUAGAUGAAUAGCACAAUUCUAUACACGGCUACUCAGUGGAAUGCCUCAGCUGAAUUCAGUGGACUUACUCCCAGGCUUGCAUGGGUUUUUGGAUUGCCAGCACUUCCAUUUGUGCUGAAUUUCUUGAGUCCUCUGAAGAAUCUUGGGGUCCAAGCAUGAAGCAACAUCCUAUAAUCCUAAAAAGUUUGCCUUUCAGUCCCUAUAUCUGAGGGACAGCUGUGGUUAAGCCAUGAUAAGGAAAAGAAAUGCUCUUCAAGUGCACUCUUCACAUGCUCUAAGGGUUUGUGCUACAAACAGCCUGAAGCCUUCAAGUCUCCUCAAAGAUUUGUUUAGGCAUGAAGAUGCCCAGGACUGCACCCUAAUUCUUUCAACUUCUACUUAUGCCCUGAAGUUGCUUCUAGCCUUAGCAAUGGCCUUGUGCCUCAACAAUCCUGUGAUUGUAGUUUAUAUUUGUGGUGAGUCACUCCUGAAACACAGAUCUGGGGGAAAGCUGCUGGAAGUUCCAGAUCAAGCCGAUGGGAAACCCAUGACUUUGGGAUGAGGCCUCCUUGAAAAGCACUUGCUUUUCCUUUGCUUGUUUUGAUGCAUAAGAAACGACCCAACAAAUAGCUGUUGAGGUCAUUGUUAAAGUAUGAUCCAAACAUAAUCAUUUUGAGACAAAACAAGGUGAAAGCAAAAAAACCGCACAAGGCAAAUGUGCUCACUGAAAAGCUGACUUCCGGGUGGUUUUCAGAGCAAAUUAAUUUGAAAGGACACCACCUAGAGGAUGUUACUGGACUUUAUUCUUCGCCUAAAUAGAAACUUGCAGAGCUCCUGCCGGUGGUGUCAUUCAGAAGCCGGCAUGGCAUUUUCUCUGUUUUGCAAAGUUAAGCCUUAUUGCAGUUCCGCAAGUGUGAGCUCACGAGAGAAAGCACCUAAUCUACUUAGUCUGCAUUAGUCUUACUAUACAUCCUGGACCUGGGUGGUGUGGUGCUAGUUGUGUCCUCACUAGCUCAGCCUUUGAAGGGUAGGAUGUGUUGGGAAAACCCCAGAGAUUGCAAGGAAUGGGAAACUCAAAUGGGACAGUCCACGAAGCUGCCCAGGGGACUUCGAGUGGAUGCCAAGACCUGCUUAUAGAAUAUGUACAUAAAGGCUAUUUAAAUAACAGAAGCAACAACAGAAAACAAGUAACAACAUGUAUUAUGUUUACAUUCUUAGUGGUUAUAUAAAUAAUACUACGGCUUUUGCACAAUUAAAUGAAGAUG
Varanus komodoensis (Komodo dragon) is the source of this 2640-nucleotide long non-coding RNA. RefSeq lists it as uncharacterized. NCBI's taxonomy places the organism in Eukaryota, Metazoa, Chordata, Lepidosauria, Squamata, Varanidae. The record is from RefSeq and is a predicted model, not a curated record. The transcript has 3 exons.